GAUGAUUUGCAGACUAAACAUAUCCCAACUUUCAUCCACAUGACUCGCUAAACUUUGGCCAACAAUUUUCGGUUGUAAUCGAAACAUUUUGAACAGUUGGUCGACGAAGAGUUUCCAUGCAUAGUUGCACAAAAUAUUUCGCAAAAACAUGCUGAGCAUCGUAAAGUCUAGAGGACCUAUCCCCUCGGUUACUUUUCAAAUGGCGGUUAGAUCAAAACAGCGACAUUGCGAAAAUUUAUGAGCUACACAAUACAAAAGAGCAAAACACACAUGUGGCAGACACGAGACGAAAUCGGAUGAAAUACGCUGAGACGAAGGGCAGACAGCGAUGUGAACCCCUCUGGAUGGGGAUGAGGAUGGGGAUGGGAUCGUUGAAUAACAAUAUGUAUGGGGUAUGAAAACGGAACGAUACGAAUGGAAAUAUUUCAUUUUAUGCUCAUAAUAAUGACACCAACCCGAGCCAAAAAUGUUAUAAAAUGGUUGAUUAUGUGAGCGAUUCAGA
Drosophila subpulchrella is the source of this 502-nucleotide long non-coding RNA. RefSeq lists it as uncharacterized. NCBI's taxonomy places the organism in Eukaryota, Metazoa, Arthropoda, Insecta, Diptera, Drosophilidae. The transcript is spliced from 2 exons. The record is from RefSeq and is a predicted model, not a curated record.